Molecule: non-coding RNA, 88 nt
Organism: Candidatus Gottesmanbacteria bacterium
Lineage: Bacteria; Candidatus Gottesmaniibacteriota
Source: Rfam
GGAGGAGUACCCAAGCGGUCGUACGGGAACCGUCUCGAAAACGGUUUAGGUCGUAAGGCCUACGCGAGUUCGAAUCUCGCCUCCUCCG